UACAGGGGGGGCAAGCGUUGUUCGGAAUUACUGGGCGUAAAGGGCUCGUAGGCGGCCCACUAAGUCACACGUGAAAUCCCCAGGCUUAACCUGGGAACUGCGUGUGAUACUGGAUGGCUUGAAUCCGGGAGAGGGAUGCGGAAUUCCAGGUGUAGCGGUGAAAUGCGUAGAUAUCUGGAGGAACACCGGUGGCGAAGGCGGCAUCCUGGACCGGUAUUGACGCUGAGGCGCGAAAGCUAGGGGAGCAAACGGG
Molecule: ribosomal RNA, 253 nt
Filed under: uncultured bacterium
Lineage: Bacteria
Description: partial 16S ribosomal RNA
Rfam family: Bacterial small subunit ribosomal RNA
Source: RNAcentral